GACGAACGCUGGCGGCGUGCUUAACACAUGCAAGUCGAACGGUGAAGGGGUCUGCUUUUGUGGGCCCUGGAUGAGUGGCGAACGGGUGAGUAACACGUGAGUAACCUGCCCCCUUCUUCUGGAUAACCGCAUGAAAGUGUGGCUAAUACGGGAUAUUCUGGGUCUGUCGCAUGAUGGGUCUGGGAAAGAUUGCGCCUUUGGGUGUUUUUGGUGGGGGAUGGGCUCGCGGCCUAUCCGCUUGUUGGUGGGGUGAUGGCCUACCAAGGCGGUGACGGGUAGCCGGCCUGAGAGGGUGGACGGUCACACUGGGACUGAGACACGGCCCAGACACCUACGGGAGGCAGCAGUGGGGAAUAUUGCACAAUGGGCGCAAGCCUGAUGCAGCGACGCCGCGUGAGGGAUGGAGGCCUUCGGGGUGUAAACCUCUUUCGCCAGUGAAGCAGGCCUGCUCCUUGUGGGUGGGUUGACGGUAGCUGGAUAAGAAGCGCCGGCUAACUACGUG
This 502-nucleotide ribosomal RNA is filed under the name uncultured bacterium. RNAcentral describes it as "partial 16S ribosomal RNA". It matches the Rfam family "Bacterial small subunit ribosomal RNA", at positions 28 to 507 of the family's 1533-position model. The record is from RNAcentral.